Molecule: ribosomal RNA, 235 nt
Filed under: uncultured Candidatus Saccharibacteria bacterium
Lineage: Bacteria; Candidatus Saccharimonadota
Description: partial 16S ribosomal RNA
Rfam family: Bacterial small subunit ribosomal RNA
Source: RNAcentral
UAAGUCUGUAGUGAAAGCGUGGGGCUCAACCUCAUAUACAUUAUGGAAACUGCUAAGCUAGAGGGCGAGAGAGGUAACUAGAAUUCCUUGUGUAGGAGUGAAAUCCGUAGAUAUAAGGAGGAAUACCGACGGCGUAGGCAGGUUACUGGCUCGUCCCUGACACUAAGGCACGAAAGCGUGGGGAGCAAACGGGAUUAGAUACCCCGGUAGUCCACGCCGUAAACGAUGGAUGCUA